GAUGAACGCUAGCGAUAGGCUUAACACAUGCAAGUCGAGGGGCAGCAUGGUCUUAGCUUGCUAAGGCUGAUGGCGACCGGCGCACGGGUGCGUAACGCGUAUGCAACUUGCCUCACAGAGGGGGAUAACCCGUCGAAAGACGGACUAAUACCGCGUACACUCUAUGUUGGGCAUCCAAUGUAGAGGAAAUGAAAUUCGCUGUGAGAUAGGCAUGCGUCCCAUUAGCUAGUUGGUGAGGUAACGGCUCACCAAGGCGACGAUGGGUAGGGGAACUGAGAGGUGGAACCCCCACACUGGUACUGAGACACGGACCAGACUCCUACGGGAGGCAGCAGUGAGGAAUAUUGAUCAAUGGGCGAGAGCCUGAACCAGCCAAGUCGCGUGAAGGAUGACUGUCUUAUGGAUUGUAAACUUCUUUUAUACGGGAAUAACAAGAGUCACGUGUGGCUCCCUGCAUGUACCGUAUGAAUAAGCAUCGGCUAACUCCGUG
This 490-nucleotide ribosomal RNA is filed under the name uncultured bacterium. RNAcentral's name for it is "partial 16S ribosomal RNA". It matches the Rfam family "Bacterial small subunit ribosomal RNA", at positions 28 to 507 of the family's 1533-position model. The record is from RNAcentral.